This 330-nucleotide ribosomal RNA is filed under the name uncultured eukaryote. RNAcentral's name for it is "partial 18S ribosomal RNA". It matches the Rfam family "Eukaryotic small subunit ribosomal RNA", at positions 1470 to 1796 of the family's 1831-position model. The record is from RNAcentral.
CCCUUAGAUGUUCUGGGCCGCACGCGCGCUACACUGAUGCAUUCAACGAGUCUAAAACCUGGUCUGAUAGGGCUGGGUAAUCUUUUGAAAGUGCAUCGUGAUUGGGAUAGAUGAUUGCAAUUCUUCAUCUUCAACGAGGAAUGCCUAGUAAACGCAAGUCAUCGGCUUGCAUUGAUUACGUCCCUGCCCUUUGUACACACCGCCCGUCGCUCCUACCGAUUGAAUGAUCCGAUGAAUACCAUGGAUUGAGAGUACGAAUGGGUUCGCUCAUUUCUGCUGCUCGAGAAGUGGAGUAAAUCUUAUCAUUUAGAGGAAGGAGAAGUCGUAACA